This 552-nucleotide ribosomal RNA is filed under the name Brachybacterium rhamnosum. Its description in RNAcentral is "bacterial SSU rRNA". It matches the Rfam family "Bacterial small subunit ribosomal RNA", at positions 504 to 1058 of the family's 1533-position model. The record is from RNAcentral. Lineage: Bacteria; Bacillati; Actinomycetota; Actinomycetes; Micrococcales; Dermabacteraceae.
CGUGCCACCCCGCGGUAAUACGUAGGGCGCAAGCGUUGUCCGGAUUUAUUGGGCGUAAAGAGCUUGUAGGUGGCUUGUCGCGUCUGCCGUGAAAACCCGAGGCUCAACCUCGGGCGUGCGGUGGGUACGGGCAGGCUAGAGUGUGGUAGGGGAGACUGGAACUCCUGGUGUAGCGGUGAAAUGCGCAGAUAUCAGGAAGAACACCGAUGGCGAAGGCAGGUCUUUGGGCCAUUACUGACACUGAGAAGCGAAAGCAUGGGGAGCGAACAGGAUUAGAUACCCUGGUAGUCCAUGCCGUAAACGUUGGGCACUAGAUGUGGGGAACAUUCCACGUUUUCCGCGUCGUAGCUAACGCAUUAAGUGCCCCGCCUGGGGAGUACGGCCGCAAGGCUAAAACUCAAAGGAAUUGACGGGGGCCCGCACAAGCGGCGGAGCAUGCGGAUUAAUUCGAUGCAACGCGAAGAACCUUACCAAGGCUUGACAUGCACCGGACGACUCCAGAGAUGGGGUUUUCUUCGGACUGGUGCACAGGUGGUGCAUGGUUGUCGUCAG